This 214-nucleotide long non-coding RNA is filed under the name Hordeum vulgare. RNAcentral's name for it is "long non-coding RNA (HVUL_LNC014332)". Lineage: Eukaryota; Viridiplantae; Streptophyta; Magnoliopsida; Poales; Poaceae. The record is from RNAcentral.
UACCUCAUGCACCCCUUCGCAGGAGUUCCGGAGCUCCGUCCACCGCGUGACGUAGUCGCGAAGGGGUUCGUCGGGCUUCUGAAUGCACAUGGCCAGCUCGUGAGGCUGGCGAGGACGCUUGUAGGUGCCAGUGAAGUUGCGGACAAACGCCUCCUCGAAGUCUACCCAGGAGUUGACGUUGUCGGCCGGAAGGCUGUUAAGCCAAGUCCGAACC